UUCUACGUCUUUUUUACGUAACAUAGCUCCGAUUCCGUCAUUUCUUCGCUUUAGUUUGAAUACACAGGUUCUAACCUCAUGAGAACUCGAAAUGCAGAUUCGUCUUCCAAAUCCGUAACCCCUAAGAAGACACCAUCAGCAAAAGAAUCCGCCGGAGAAUCUCCCGUCGCAAAGCGCACGUCUCCAUCCAAAACCAGCAGCACCAAGAAGAUGGAAGCAUCGCCCGCAACCGAUCCUAUAUCCGAUCCAAUUCUAAUCAAUCUGAGUAGCAAAAAUCAUUAUCUAGUGCUACUACUGCUGCGAAAUCUGCAAAGAGGAAAACACUAGGUAAACCAAGGAGAACAGUGGUUAUUAUUAAUCCAAAUUUGGAAGAGUAUUUGGUGGCUGAAGCUAAUGAAGCAGCAGAGAAAGUGGCUGAAGCUGGUGAAUCUAGUGAAAUAUCAUAUUUUGGGUUGGCUAGGCUUGACGAAAAGGAUAAAACUCAUAUCAUCACCCGAAUGGCGGGCACAAUGUCAGUUCUCUCUCCCUUGAUCAUUCAACUUGUAAUUUUUUCUUGACUAAGAAUCAUAACCUGUGUUUUGUAGAGGAUAUAUGGCACCGGAAUAUGCUUUAUGGGGUUACUUGAGUUAUAAGGCUGAUGUUUACAGUUUUGUAGAUCUAUAAUAUUCACAUUCAUUCAUGCAGGAAGAACAAUUUCCAAUCUCAAUAAACUUGCAAAGAAUGGUGUGGAAGAACAUGAAUCAAUUAUAGUAGAAAAAUUUAAAAUAGGGUCAAGGCCUCCAGAGUGUGAGAAAAGAUGCAAAAGCAAAAGCUGUAUCCAAUGUGAAGCCAUUAUUAUUCAGCAGCUUAUUCAUCAAGAGGGGAUGGUCUUUCAAACUACAAACCUAUAAGCUGGAAGUGCAAAUUUGAUAAUGAACAUUGUACUGCUGCAAAGGAAGGAGGGGAAGCGUUGAAAGAGGGAGAAUUGAGUAUAUCAGAGGAGUCUCUCAGAGAUUCUAAGCGCAAAUCUUCAACAAUAUCGGAAGCUCCUCAUCCUCGCGAAGCUAAGAAAUUGAAGAUAUGACUUGGGUGGGAAAAAUGUGUCAGAUUACCCUCAUCCUUCUUGUUCUUUUAACUCUGAAAUUAUAAUAGUUGUGGGUAUGAUCCUUCUUGUUCGCUUCACUCUUUCAAGAAAACCCAAAAACUUCAGGAAGUGGGAUCUAUGGCAGGGAAUGAACUUCUCGUUAUCAAAAGCUGAAGCUCGUGUUUAUGGUUCAACUGGAGUAAAGUUUUCUGACGUGGCUGGAAUUGAUGAUGUUGUAGAUGAACUUCAAGAGGGAGUGUUUGGCUCUGCAUUUCAAGUUGGUGUGACUACUUGGUGUUUGCACCAGACAGGACCUGUUUUCAUUCACACAGUCUUGCUGGUGAUACUCCACUAGCUGGUGAAGGACUAUUUAAUAUCCGAACGUUACAUUACAUUUAAUCUAUUUAAAUAAACCUCGACGCUUCACUUCAAUGCAAACUCACUUUUCAAAACUAGCCGUUAUUCAACCCUUAUCUUCCACACACUCAAACACUCUCAACUCUUAAACACUGUCUGUCUAUGGCGACCUCAAUCGACGCACCUUCUUCUCCUCCUCUUCCGCCCAUGAAACAGGAUGAUGAUACAAACGUUGUUAAUUCUUCUUCUUCUCCGCAAUUUAGUUCAUCUUCCGAUAAACGAUUCUGGAGCACUCUUCGUAGUAGAAUGGAUUCGCUUCUCGAUAAUCCUCAACCCAGAAUUUCAGAUUCACAUCAUCCAUCCACCUCUACGGAUCACAUCCCUUCGGUUAAGGAGUAAAAUCUACAAGAUCAAAUGCAAAUGAUUGAAGAGGAUAAAGACAUAGAAAUGUUGUCAAAACAAAAGUCAAAGAAGAAGAAGAAAACUUAUAGAAAGUGUUAUGACUUAGUUAAAAUAUGAUU
Long non-coding RNA from Vicia villosa (hairy vetch), 1941 nucleotides. RefSeq lists it as uncharacterized. The transcript is spliced from 10 exons. The record is from RefSeq and is a predicted model, not a curated record. NCBI's taxonomy places the organism in Eukaryota, Viridiplantae, Streptophyta, Magnoliopsida, Fabales, Fabaceae.